RNA transcript from Entelurus aequoreus (snake pipefish), 4261 nucleotides. It is a transcript of the gene named RNA-binding protein 26-like, with no coding region annotated. The transcript has 23 exons. The record is from RefSeq and is a predicted model, not a curated record. NCBI's taxonomy places the organism in Eukaryota, Metazoa, Chordata, Actinopteri, Syngnathiformes, Syngnathidae.
GAUCACAAGCGGAAGUAAAUAGUCAGGUUGGCACGUUAGCUAGCGAGGAGCGUCAAUAAAGUGACAAGUUCAACGCGCAUUUGUUCGCCUUUUAAAUCAUUCUUUUUAAUUCCAAUUGACCGUCAAAAGCUGCUAUAACGGCUUGACUCGCAGGUGCACCGCAGACGUGGCUCUGGAGCGAUUAAACCGGCAGAGCUCGAUAGCACGUUUGAGGCCUGCAACCUGCGCUUAGCCAGCCUAGUUGCCGCUAACUUGCAGCUAAACUCUUAACUUACCUAACUUACUCCGUUUAAUGUCUGACAUUCUUACAGACUUACUUCCUUUAAUGUGUGACAUUCUCCCAGGCCUGCUUCGUGUAAUUCUCCCAGGCCUGCGCAUAUAGUAGUCCCUCCAGGUAGCGUCGACUCUGGCCGUGGUGCCUCCAAAGUUUCAGCUUGAUCUAAAAUGAUCAUUGAAAAUCUGGAUGCUUUGAAAACAUGGCUGUCCCAAACACUGGAGCCCAUCUGCGAAGCAGACCCUUCAGCCCUGGCCAAGUAUGUUGUUGCCCUGGUGAAGAAAGACAAGACUGAGAAUGAACUCAAAGCCUUGUGUAUUGACCAGUUGGACGUCUUUCUUCAGAAAGAAACCCAGCAAUUUGUGGACAAGCUGUUUGAAGCCGUCAACAACAAGAGCUAUCUGCCUGCCACGGAACAAACUCCCGCUGUGGUGAAGCCGCUGGACAAAGAUGAGCAGAAAAACGAUGAGACAACCCGAGAAGAGGAACGUGACAAAAAGUUUCCUCGACGUGUGAAUAACAGCCCUCCACUAUCAAGUUCCCGCUACAGCAGAGAUGGCAGGAGAGCAGACGACCGUAAGAGGGACGACCGUACCAGAAAGAGGGAAUAUGACCGCAUCCCACCGAGGAGGGAUUCCUACCGGGAUCGCUACAAUCGGAGAAGGGGCCGCAGUCGUAGUUACAGUCGUAGCCGAAGCCGGAGCUGGAGCAAGGAUCGUACUCGAGACCGGGAGCGUGACCGGGAUAGAGAGAGGGAUAGGGACCGUGACCGAGACAGAAGCAUGAGUCCCACUCACAGCAGAACCCGCUCUCGAAGUAGAGAACGAGAUUCUGGGAAGUCCAAGUACGAUCAAGACCGAGCGGACAGGUUGGAAGGCGUCGAUGGCUACACGCCGACCGUUCUGGUUUCCGCGGCAACCACCUCGCAUUUCCCAGUGCCGACUCUGAGCAGCACCAUCACGGUCAUAGCUCCCACUCAUCAUCACAACAACAACACAACCGAGAGCUGGUCAGCGUUCCACCCGGAUCGGCCGGUGGAUCACGGUCCCUUCAGGGGGCCCCCUCCUCAGCAGCGAAAACGCUGCCGGGAUUAUGACGAAAAGGGCUUCUGCAUGAGAGGAGACAUGUGCCCCUUUGACCAUGGAAGUGACCCAGUCGUAGUGGAGGAUGUCAGUCUGCCCAAUAUGCUGCCCUUCCAACCUCCACCUAUGCCUGGUGUGGACCCCCAACCGCCCCCAGGUCUUCCACCUCCACCUCUCAUGAACCCGCCACCUGUGAAUUUGGGGCCUCCUGUACCCCCACCAGGCGCCCUCCCACCAAGCCUGCCGCCGGUCGCCGGACCACCUCCUCCUCUUCCACCACUUCAACCAUCAGGAAUGGAUGCACCCCCCAAUUCCGUUACGAGUGCUGUUCCCACCAUUGUCACUUCUGGAAUGCGCUCUUCGGUGCCUCCAAUGUCAGCACCACGUUUCCCCUCAGACACCUAUGAGACUGACGUGUAUAAUCCUGAGGCUCCCAGCAUCACCAUCAGCUCCAGGCCAAUGUACCGCCAUCGUGUCAAUGCCCAGAGGCCCAACCUGAUUGGUCUCACAAUGGGGGAUGUGGACCAGCCACAGAGAGACAAGGUCCCAAACAACAGUAUGAGGAUAGUGAUGGACUCUGGCCUAAGAAAGAGACCAGUUGGUCCACAUGAUGGAGGCACUGUGCACCAGAAACCUUGGUUUGACAAGCCUAACUAUAACAAGCCCAACCACCUGGGCUACUACAGGAGAGGCCCGUUCAACUCCCCCAACACAAAGCUGCUGGUUCGGCAAAUUCCUCCCGAGCUCAACAACAUCAGCAAGCUCAAUGAUCAUUUCAGCAAGUUUGGAACCAUCGUCAACCUUCAGGUGGCGUACCAAAACGACCCAGAAGGUGCGCUGAUCCAGUUUGCAUCCCCAGAUGAGGCCAAGCGGGCCAUCCAAAACACAGAGGCUGUCCUCAACAACCGCUUUAUUCGGGUCCAUUGGUUUCGUGAGAACGGAGGUGAUGGCCACGGCCAGUCUUACCCACAGCAGGUGCAGCCCCUGCCAGUCACACAGCCCUCAGCAACAUCGUUGAAACAGUCCGUCAAAGAUCGCCUCGGGCCUCUUCUCACCGCAAACUCUGAGCCGUCCCAGGACUCCAACGUAGCCGCCCAGAAUUCUGCCAAAGCAUCAGUGAAGGAGCGUUUGGGUUUCUCCACCAAACCUGCUUCUCCGGUCGAGAAGGUGUUUUCUACCUCUGCGGGCCUUUCCAAGACCGUAUACAAUCUUGCUGCCGUGAAAGCUGUCCAGAAAACCACAGAGGAUGCCCUAAAGAAGAAGCAGGAAGCCCUAAGGUUACAGCAAGAUGUAAGGAAGAAGAAGCAGGAAAUACUGGAGAAGCACAUUGAAACACAGAAGCUCCUCAUCUCCAAACUGGAGAAGAACAAAGCGAUGAAAGCCGAGGAUAAAGCCAAGAUCAUGCAAACCUUGGGCACCCUGACCAAGAGCAUCACCAAGCUCCAAGAAGAGAUAAAAGGCAUCUCGAGCAGCCGCAACCUUCUGCAUGCAGCCAAGAGCAAGGCCCAAGCUCAGAAAGAACUGCUUGAUGCAGAGCUGGACCUCCACAAGAAGACUCAAGCUGGGGAGGACACAGCUUUGUUGAAGCUCAAGUAUACCCAGCUGCAAAUCGAGGCGGCUAAAAGGGGACUCCUGGCACGGGGCCGGGGCCGGGGCCGAGGGGCGCCAGCUCGCGGCCGCGGCGCUCCAAGGGCCCGGGGACGGGGGAGCAGAGGGCGGGGACGAGGCGUCUCACUGCACGCAGUCGUGGACCAUCGACCGCGAGCUCUUCAGAUCUCUGGUUUCACUGAGCUCGAGCGAGUAGAUCUGCUGCCACACUUUGCUCAAUUUGGAGAAAUCGAGGACUGCCAGAUCGAUGACAACGGCCUGUCAGCAAUCAUCACCUACAGGACGAGAGCCGAGGCAGAGCAGGCAGCCCUUCAUGGCCCCAAGUUGAACUCCCACAAUUUACAGCUGGCCUGGCACAAACCUGCCAUCACGCUGAGUGCUGCGGAUGCUAACGAGGCCGAAGCAGAGGAGGAUGAGUAUCCUGAAGAAUCCCUGAGUGACGACGCCUUGCUGCAGGACGACGACGAGGAGGAGGACGACAACGAGCCUCGCUCCUGGCGCAGAUGAACAUCUCCUGCACUUUUAUUUAUUCCACUGCCUCUUCAUUCAUCCACGGCCAACAAACUUUGAUUUUAAUAUCUUUUCCACAGGCAACCUUUUUUUUUUUUUUUUUUAUGCUCUUAAUGUCGAUUUUUUUUCCCUCCCCCGGGAUCAUUUUUGAUCAUAGAAGUGGUAGUUUGUCCGUUUGUUUACCUUUGAACUCAAGCUUUUUGUGGAGUAGUACUACAGUAUUGAUCAUAUGUAAAUAUUUUAUGUCUGCUUUGAAAUAAUUUGUACGAAAGCUUAGUUUCUCAGUUAUUUGGCUUCAACUUUGAAUUGUAAAAAAAAAAAAAAAAAACCCAAAAAAUAAAGAAUUGAAAUGGUCAGGAGACACUGCCAGGAAAAGGGUGGAAAAGAGAAAAAAGUAUGGCAGUGAAAAGAUUCCCCCUUUAAAAAGUUGCAAAUGACCAUUUCAAAAAAACAAAAAAAAAAACAUGUUCACCUAAAGAGCAAAUUUCCUCAACAAUUCCUCCUUGUUGUCUCCGUAAGGUAAUAAUAAUAUUUGUAAUGUCUGAAUCUACACUGAAGGUGCUGCUCAUCUUCUGAAGAAACUACCGGUAUUCUUAUUGUUGUUACGCACUGUCAAUAGAAUGUCAUAAAUGCACUUUUGUACAAUUAAUUCUCGGUUUGAUUAUUUAAUGAACACAAGGACAUUGAAGUCCUUUCAUUAAUCGAGGAAAUAUUUAAAAUCCAGAAACAAAAAUAAAUAUAUUUUGAUCAAAUAAUGUCCAAUAACACACUUGAGAUGGUUUUUAAA